AGCGAACGCUGGCGGCAGGCUUAACACAUGCAAGUCGAGCGGGCGUAGCAAUACGUCAGCGGCAGACGGGUGAGUAACGCGUGGGAACGUACCUUUUGGUUCGGAACAACCCAGGGAAACUUGGGCUAAUACCGGAUAAGCCCUUACGGGGAAAGAUUUAUCGCCAAAAGAUCGGCCCGCGUCUGAUUAGCUAGUUGGUGAGGUAACGGCUCACCAAGGCGACGAUCAGUAGCUGGUCUGAGAGGAUGAUCAGCCACAUUGGGACUGAGACACGGCCCAAACUCCUACGGGAGGCAGCAGUGGGGAAUAUUGGACAAUGGGCGCAAGCCUGAUCCAGCCAUGCCGCGUGAGUGAUGAAGGCCCUAGGGUUGUAAAGCUCUUUUGUGCGGGAAGAUAAUGACGGUACCGCAAGAAUAAGCCCCGGCUAACUUCGUGCCAGCCGCCGCUGUAAG
Molecule: ribosomal RNA, 452 nt
Filed under: uncultured bacterium
Lineage: Bacteria
Description: bacterial SSU rRNA
Rfam family: Bacterial small subunit ribosomal RNA
Source: RNAcentral